Molecule: ribosomal RNA, 118 nt
Filed under: SAR324 cluster bacterium JCVI-SC AAA005
Lineage: Bacteria; Deltaproteobacteria
Source: RNAcentral
AGUUUGGUGUCUAUAGCCAGGGGGUGACACCUGUUACCAUCCCGAACACAGUAGUUAAGACCCUGAACGCCUAUGGUACUGCCGGGGUUACUCGGUGGGAGAGUCGGUCGAUGCCAAA